UAUUCCACAGCACUAACCUGUAUUAACGAUUAAAUAACCUUAGCUCAUAUAACUGCACUUUAAUAAGGAAACUAUAAUGAUUUAUAACAUGACAUUUUAGAUCUAGAGGUAAAUGCUAUAGUGUUUGCUGAAUGACUUGGUAAACGACCCGUAUGUUCUUUCCUUUUUUUUUGUCAGCCGACGUGUAAUUUUAGAAAAGGGAGAGAAAAAACGCAGUUUUUGUUUUUGAAAGCUCAGCUCCCUCGCCUCUCUGUGUUUAUUUCACAUUACCUAACACGCCAUUGUGGGCGUGGCUUAUGUAUCUUUUAUUUCUAUUGGUCGCACACGAUCUUCUAUUCUCAUUGGUCUAUGAACGACUUCACGUAGUUCCGCUAUUAAAAAAAAAGGCAACGGUCUUCUUCAUUUCAGCUCCGAUCGCUGUUUAUGUAUCUGCUUUGCUUUUGUUUUGUUUUUCCUUUAUGUGCAUCUUAUCCAAUAUGGCGGCACUGGUGAGGACUUUUCUGUCGUUGUUUUCUAUGGCAACCAGAAAAAAAGUGGUAGGAGGCUAGCCCCGGACAGGUUGUCACAUGAUUAGCGACUAAAACCGAGCUGCCUGAUUCCAAUAUGGUGGUUGGCUCGGCGGAGCUACGUAUCCUGUUAAUGAUAUUGUGGGCUUGCUGGUUCGGCUCUGGCGCAUGCAGCCAAAACACGUCGCUGCGGGUCAUCGGUCUGAGACUAGAGGAGGCCAGCGACCGUGUGUACAUGCGCGGGAGAAUCCUGACCGCUGCGCCUGGCUCCACUUUUAAGCUCCGGUUGUUUGGUUCCUACCUGCUGAAUGGGACUUGGCCGUGGCUUGCAUUUGUUAGAGUGGAUGCGAGUGUCGCUGAGGACGCUUGUAACCAAGAAACGUUGCGCAAUACUUCUGCUUUCCAAGUGCGCGAAGAAUUUAACCCGGACGAGGAAAACGGAGGCUUAAUAGUAGUCCAAACUGAGGAUACAAACAUCUCGGAUCAGGUAAACGAUGAAACGCAUUCGGUUUUCUACUGCUUGUGCGUAUUCAAUGGGGAAACCUGGCAGCCAGCGGGGCCGGACAGGUUCCGUUUAAAAGACCCAGAUCUGCCACCCGAAUGGAUCCCAACAUGGGGUCUAGCCGUAAUCAUCAUCCUAGUAGUCCUCAUAUGCUCACUGAUAAGAUGCCUUCAUCUCAGUUUGCUUUGGCUUGACCCUCUGGAGCUUUAUGUACUGCACAGCUGUGGGUCAGAAGAUGAGCGACGUCUGGCGAAACGCCUGGAGCCAAUUCGGAGGAGAGGAAACUUUCUUGUUUGCUCUCUGCUUUUCUUGUGUGCACUGGGCCACUCGGUGCUCGGUGUGGUCUUCUACCGUGCCUUCGCAUCCAUCCUUCCAGCUGCAUUUGCAUGUGCUGCACUUAUAUUCGUAGUCGCCGAGUUGUUGCCCCAUAUCAUAAGCUCGGGUUAUGGCUUCUAUCUCGCCCCGAGUCUAGUAUGGAUCGCCAAGAGCUGUCUGAUCAUCACGUGCCCCCUGUCUUGCCUCUUGGGUCUCUUUUUGGAUUUGGCAUUUAGGCGUGACGUGAGUACUUGCGGAGUGCGUGAAAAGGUGAUGGAGCUGAUCCGCACGAACGUAAACGAUCCAUACAGCGAGUUUGUCAAAGAGGAGUUCCGGCGUGGGACGCUGAGGAGCAAGACGGUGGAGGACAUUCUAACGCCACUGAAGGACUGCUUUAUGCUCCCCUCCACGGCCGUGCUGGACUUUAACACCAUGAGCGAGAUCAUGCAGAGCGGUUACACCCGCGUGCCUGUGUACGAGGAGGAGCGCUCUAACAUCGUGGAGAUCCUUUACAUCAAGGACCUGGCCUUGGUGGAUCCUGCCGACUGCACACCAAUGACCACUAUCACCAAGUUCUACAACCACCCGCUGCAUUUCGUCUUUAAUGACACUAAGCUGGAUGCCAUGCUUGAAGAGUUUAAAAAAGGAAACUCUCACCUGGCCAUCGUACAGAGGGUGAAUAAUGAGGGAGAGGGAGACCCCUUUUAUGAGGUGCAGGGUCUGGUCACCCUUGAAGAUGUGAUCGAAGAGAUCAUCAAGUCAGAGAUCCUGGAUGAGUCUGAUGGCUAUAUGAACAUGAAAGUGAAGCGCCCUCUUCCCCCACUAGAGAUCCCUUUAGAGCCACGUGCAGUGCAGGAAGAAUUCUCUCUCUUUAAAUUGCCCGAAGGCGAGGCGAAGAUCCGCACGUCUCCUCAGCUCCUACUUGCUACACACCGCUUUCUAUCCAGAGAAGUGGAGCAUUUCUGCCCACAGCGAGUGUCAGAAAAAGUCUUAUUUCAUCUCCUGCGACAUCCCAGUGUUAAUCAAGAAGUAAAGUUUGACCCAAACAACAAAAUGAGUCCUGACCAUUACCUCUAUACGCGCAAUCACCCAGUGGACUACUUCAUUCUGCUGCUGCAGGGCCGUGUGGAAGUGGAGAUCGGAAAAGAAGGGCUAAAGUUUGAGAAUGGCGCCUUCACCUACUACGGGGUAUCAGCGCUGUCGGCACCGUCCUCUGUACAUCAGUCUCCAGUGUCCACACAGCAUCGUUCCCUCAGAGACACGUUUGACCUGGGAGAAGCCACAAGCCCAUCCAGUUACUGUCCUGACUACACAGUUCGAGCCCUUACCGACUUGCAGCUCAUCAGGGUAACUCGAUUGCAGUAUCUCAAUGCUUUGAUGGCAUCUCGGGCAUCACAGAGCCCUGGUCUUCCAGAGAUUAAGAUCCUUCCUAACAGCCAGACCAAACUCCUAAAUGAAAAGAACGUCACCCAAGGUACAGAGCUGUGACUGAAGGCAUGGACACAAUCAACGUAACAUUUGACUGUUCACUUCACUUUUCAUUCUUUGAUGCAAUUGACAACUACUGUUAAUGUAUAGAGAGGAUGGAAACAUGUGAGGACUCGCACAAGAAUUUCAAGGAUCUCUCCAUUUCUGUGGUUUGCAGGUACAAGCAAGACCUUGGAAUGCAAGACUGAUAAAGAAGUUUCACACAAGCUUUUUGAUGUAACCUGUUAAGCAUGGACAAUGAUUUUAACUGCUGACCUUCCCCCAAUUUAUUCUUACUUUUUAUGUUUAAAGUUUUCAGAUUUUAUUCAUCAUUGGUGCUUAUGCUGUUUUCCUUUGCUGUGUGGGUAUUGGGUUGGUGUGUGUCUAUGAGGCAUUAUCAUGUUAAAGCCUUUGGUGACUUUUAAUGUCAAUAGACAACUGAGUGCCAGCAUGGGCAGCAGGAACUGCUCUUUUUUUGUUUCGCCUUUUCAGUUGGUUUUUUUUUUUUUUCCUGGUUGGAAAAAAAUAGUUUUUAACUCUUUAUAUAUGUCAUAUUCUGCACCACAUUUCUCCAACAUGUUCAGCUUCUGUAGUUUUCGUGUACUGUAUAUGUAUAUAUCUAUCUAUAGAUAUAUAUACAUAUAUAUAUCUAUCUUGUAGUGUUUAUAUGUAUGACCUUGGUUAGAUUGUAAUGCUGUAAGAGCCCAAAACGUUAUCAUGUAAAGACAACUCAAAAUUUACAAGUUAUGUAAUCUGAGAAUAAUGCUGUGUGUUUAUAUUUAUUGUAAUUCUCACAGCCUUCCCAUAAAAUUAGAAUGAGAAUUUUGUGCAUUGUUUAACGGGACAGCACAACCGAUGUUAGAUUACAUAUUGAACUGCAGUGUCUGUUGCUGCAUUAGCCAACUCUAACUAACAGACUGGGGAACACUAUGGAAGUGUUCCCUGUACUGUGUUUCACCAAUUCACGGGGCGGCUUUUCAGAGAUUUGUUGGGAACUGAUGUGAGUUAGUCUGAGCUCAUGCAAAGUUCACUGUGAAAAAACAAUUCACUUAAAUUUCCUUGGACCUUUUUUUUUGUGAUCAGCAAACAAUGCACACCGUCCUGUAACACUACCAUUGUCUCAGCACUGUAACCAUUUUUUUUUUAUGAGAUCAUAUUUGUGAUAAAUAGUGUCAAUGUUUUAGAAUAUGUUGAAAAUGUAAAAAGAACAAAUUAUGGCAUGUUUUGAGUCCACUUACUAUUAAGGAUCACAGCAAUUCUUUGAAGUGAUCACUUUUGUCCUUUGAUAAAUCCUUUUUACCUGAUGGGCUGGGCCUCUUCCAGGAAGACUCCAUCCACUGACUUCACAUUCAGCAAAAUCAAACUGUUAUAUUUGGUGAGGACAUUUUAGAAUGCUUGUGAGACUUCAGAGACAUGUACAACGGCAAUGAAAUGUGGCCCAGCUUCUUUGAAUUGUUUCUCACUUCAGUCUUAUUCCUUCUUUUUUUGCUUUUUUUUUUUAUGUGAACUUUCACAUUCCAUGCAAGACAUCAGCAAUGUAGUUGACAGUUUUUUUUUUCUUUCUAUUUUUGCCACACAAGGACAUUGUUAAUGGACUACCUUACCUGAGAGUAUUUAUACAAUUGUAGUGCUCAGUUACUGUUUAUCUGGGACUUAAGUUAAAGCUGGAAAGUAAUGGGGUUUUAUUUUUCUCUUUUUCUUAGGAGGACGUGAGGGCGUAGACUAGAUUGUGAGAGAGAAUUGUAAAACAUUGCUGUUUUUACCUCACAAUCUUUUUUAAUGAUUUAAAAUAGUCGCAUAAUCAAGUUUCAUAUUUUAUGAAAACCAUAAUCACCCUAUUAAUUUUAAUUAAUGUCAAAGAAUGACUGAGAAUAAUUUUUUAAAUGACCUUUUUUCAUUUGAUAACCCCAAAUAUUACAUUACACAUUUUUUUUCCCUUUUUGUUGGAGAGAUUCUGCAUAAGGUUAAUAGUUUUUGUUUGUUUUUUUUUUUGGUAGUAAUUCAUAUAUUGGCAAUAAUUACUGGCGGCAGUUGUGACUUUUAUUUGCUGUUUAAUUAUAAAAGAGUAACUGAAUUAUGUUGAGACAGUUUUUGUACAAAGUCUUAGUCUUUCUUUGGUACUAAAUACUGCUCAUGUAUUAAAAGCUCUCUUUUCAACAUUA
This is an RNA transcript of Silurus meridionalis, 4952 nucleotides long. It is a transcript of the gene named metal transporter CNNM3, with no coding region annotated. The transcript is spliced from 9 exons. NCBI's taxonomy places the organism in Eukaryota, Metazoa, Chordata, Actinopteri, Siluriformes, Siluridae. The record is from RefSeq and is a predicted model, not a curated record.